AUUGAACGCUGGCGGCAUGCCUUACACAUGCAAGUCGAACGGUAACAGGUCUUCGGAUGCUGACGAGUGGCGAACGGGUGAGUAAUACAUCGGAACGUGCCUAGUAGUGGGGGAUAACUACUCGAAAGAGUGGCUAAUACCGCAUGAGAUCUACGGAUGAAAGCAGGGGAUCGCAAGACCUUGUGCUACUAGAGCGGCCGAUGGCAGAUUAGGUAGUUGGUGGGAUAAAAGCUUACCAAGCCGACGAUCUGUAGCUGGUCUGAGAGGGCGAUCAGACACACUGGGACUGAGACACGGCACAGACUCCGACGGGAGGCAGCAGUGGGGAAUUUUGGACAAUGGGCGCAAGCCUGAUCCAGCAAUGCCGCGUGCAGGAUGAAGGCCUUCGGGUUGUAAACUGCUUUUGUACGGAACGAAAAGCCCCGGGUUAAUACCCUGGGGUCAUGACGGUACCGUAAGAAUAAGCACCGGCUAACUACGUGCCAGCCGCCGCCGUAA
Molecule: ribosomal RNA, 498 nt
Filed under: uncultured bacterium
Lineage: Bacteria
Description: partial 16S ribosomal RNA
Rfam family: Bacterial small subunit ribosomal RNA
Source: RNAcentral